GUUUAGGGCGUUCGACAUCCGAUAAAACUGGAAUGAUACAGAGAAGAUUAGCAUGGCCCCUGCGCAAGGAUGACACGUAUAAAUCGAGAAAUGAUCCUUAAACCU
Molecule: small nuclear RNA, 105 nt
Filed under: Cephalotus follicularis
Lineage: Eukaryota; Viridiplantae; Streptophyta; Magnoliopsida; Oxalidales; Cephalotaceae
Source: RNAcentral